GGUUAAGCGACUAAGCGUACACGGUGGAUGCCCUGGCAGUCAGAGGCGAUGAAGGACGUGCUAAUCUGCGAUAAGCGUCGGUAAGGUGAUAUGAACCGUUAUAACCGGCGAUUUCCGAAUGGGGAAACCCAGUGUGAUUCGUCACACUAUCAUUAACUGAAUCCAUAGGUUAAUGAGGCGAACCGGGGGAACUGAAACAUCUAAGUACCCCGAGGAAAAGAAAUCAACCGAGAUUCCCCCAGUAGCGGCGAGCGAACGGGGAGGAGCCCAGAGCCUGAAUCAGUGUGUGUGUUAGUGGAAGCGUCUGGAAAGGCGCGCGAUACAGGGUGACAGCCCCGUACACAAAAAUGCACAUAUUGUGAGCUCGAUGAGUAGGGCGGGACACGUGGUAUCCUGUCUGAAUAUGGGGGGACCAUCCUCCAAGGCUAAAUACUCCUGACUGACCGAUAGUGAACCAGUACCGUGAGGGAAAGGCGAAAAGAACCCCGGCGAGGGGAGUGAAAAAGAACCUGAAACCGUGUACGUACAAGCAGUGGGAGCACGCUUAGGCGUGUGACUGCGUACCUUUUGUAUAAUGGGUCAGCGACUUAUAUUCUGUAGCAAGGUUAACCGAAUAGGGGAGCCGAAGGGAAACCGAGUCUUAACUGGGCGUUAAGUUGCAGGGUAUAGACCCGAAACCCGGUGAUCUAGCCAUGGGCAGGUUGAAGGUUGGGUAACACUAACUGGAGGACCGAACCGACUAAUGUUGAAAAAUUAGCGGAUGACUUGUGGCUGGGGGUGAAAGGCCAAUCAAACCGGGAGAUAGCUGGUUCUCCCCGAAAGCUAUUUAGGUAGCGCCUCGUGAAUUCAUCUCCGGGGGUAGAGCACUGUUUCGGCAAGGGGGUCAUCCCGACUUACCAACCCGAUGCAAACUGCGAAUACCGGAGAAUGUUAUCACGGGAGACACACGGCGGGUGCUAACGUCCGUCGUGAAGAGGGAAACAACCCAGACCGCCAGCUAAGGUCCCAAAGUCAUGGUUAAGUGGGAAACGAUGUGGGAAGGCCCAGACAGCCAGGAUGUUGGCUUAGAAGCAGCCAUCAUUUAAAGAAAGCGUAAUAGCUCACUGGUCGAGUCGGCCUGCGCGGAAGAUGUAACGGGGCUAAACCAUGCACCGAAGCUGCGGCAGCGACGCUUAUGCGUUGUUGGGUAGGGGAGCGUUCUGUAAGCCUGUGAAGGUGUGCUGUGAGGCAUGCUGGAGGUAUCAGAAGUGCGAAUGCUGACAUAAGUAACGAUAAAGCGGGUGAAAAGCCCGCUCGCCGGAAGACCAAGGGUUCCUGUCCAACGUUAAUCGGGGCAGGGUGAGUCGACCCCUAAGGCGAGGCCGAAAGGCGUAGUCGAUGGGAAACAGGUUAAUAUUCCUGUACUUGGUGUUACUGCGAAGGGGGGACGGAGAAGGCUAUGUUGGCCGGGCGACGGUUGUCCCGGUUUAAGCGUGUAGGCUGGUUUUCCAGGCAAAUCCGGAAAAUCAAGGCUGAGGCGUGAUGACGAGGCACUACGGUGCUGAAGCAACAAAUGCCCUGCUUCCAGGAAAAGCCUCUAAGCAUCAGGUAACAUCAAAUCGUACCCCAAACCGACACAGGUGGUCAGGUAGAGAAUACCAAGGCGCUUGAGAGAACUCGGGUGAAGGAACUAGGCAAAAUGGUGCCGUAACUUCGGGAGAAGGCACGCUGAUAUGUAGGUGAAGCGACUUGCUCGUGGAGCUGAAAUCAGUCGAAGAUACCAGCUGGCUGCAACUGUUUAUUAAAAACACAGCACUGUGCAAACACGAAAGUGGACGUAUACGGUGUGACGCCUGCCCGGUGCCGGAAGGUUAAUUGAUGGGGUCAGCGCAAGCGAAGCUCUUGAUCGAAGCCCCGGUAAACGGCGGCCGUAACUAUAACGGUCCUAAGGUAGCGAAAUUCCUUGUCGGGUAAGUUCCGACCUGCACGAAUGGCGUAAUGAUGGCCAGGCUGUCUCCACCCGAGACUCAGUGAAAUUGAACUCGCUGUGAAGAUGCAGUGUACCCGCGGCAAGACGGAAAGACCCCGUGAACCUUUACUAUAGCUUGACACUGAACAUUGAGCCUUGAUG
This 2110-nucleotide ribosomal RNA is filed under the name Escherichia coli. Its description in RNAcentral is "partial 23S ribosomal RNA". It matches the Rfam family "Bacterial large subunit ribosomal RNA", at positions 1 to 2136 of the family's 2925-position model. The record is from RNAcentral. Lineage: Bacteria; Pseudomonadati; Pseudomonadota; Gammaproteobacteria; Enterobacterales; Enterobacteriaceae.